GGUGGAACUAAGUGCCCCACCGUGUGAAAGGACCAAAGUCCUGAAACACUGUAAGGUCUGGUGGUGCAUGCCUGUAUUAACCGACACUCCAGAAGUAGAGAAACCAUUAGUGUGUCCAAUGUUCAAGAACAACAGUUGUUCACCUCAAGAAGUUUAUAACUUGCUGGGAGUCAGCGAGAGAACUCGAUAUGCCGAUCCAUGUUUCAAAAAUGGUGGAAGUUCACAGAGAAUUUUACAGAGGCUGUGAACAAUAGAAUAUCGUGCUAUUACUGCAAGAAUUGGUUUCUCUCCAUUGUUGGUGACGACUUACAAAGGACCACAACCUGCAGCAUCACUUGGGGCUCUGUCGUUUCCAGUUCCUUUGGAAGACUCAUAUCUAGAUAUUUAUGGCAGAUGGUUCUACAAAUCAGUCUAUUUUCAAUUUAAUGUGGCAUUGGCCAACCAAAUAAAAUGCUAAGAUAACCCCUGAA
Molecule: long non-coding RNA, 470 nt
Organism: Mesocricetus auratus (golden hamster)
Lineage: Eukaryota; Metazoa; Chordata; Mammalia; Rodentia; Cricetidae
Exons: 3
Source: RefSeq, a predicted model, not a curated record